UGGGGAAUCUUGCGCAAUGCGCGAAAGCGUGACGCAGCAACGCCGCGUGGGGGAAGAAGGCUUUCGGGUUGUAAACCCCUUUCAGUUGGGACGAAGCUUCGGCGGUGAAUAGCCGACCGGAGUGACGGUACCUUCACAAGAAGCACCGGCUAACUACGUGCCAGCAGCCGCGGUAAUACGUAGGGUGCAAGCGUUGUCCGGAAUUAUUGGGCGUAAAGAGCGUGUAGGCGGCCCCAUUAGUCCGCUGUGAAAGUCCAGGGCUCAACCCUGGAAUGCCGGUGGAUACUGUGGGGCUAGAGUCCGGAAGGGGCGAGUGGAAUUCCUGGUGUAGCGGUGAAAUGCGCAGAUAUCAGGAGGAACACCAAUGGCGAAGGCAGCUCGCUGGGACGUGACUGACGCUGAGACGCGAAAGCGUGGGGAGCAAACAG
RNAcentral lists this ribosomal RNA (428 nucleotides) under uncultured bacterium. RNAcentral describes it as "bacterial SSU rRNA". It matches the Rfam family "Bacterial small subunit ribosomal RNA", at positions 355 to 775 of the family's 1533-position model. The record is from RNAcentral.